RNAcentral lists this ribosomal RNA (541 nucleotides) under uncultured Hypocreaceae. RNAcentral describes it as "eukaryotic LSU rRNA". The stretch from base 176 to 329 matches the Rfam family "5.8S ribosomal RNA". Lineage: Eukaryota; Fungi; Ascomycota; Sordariomycetes; Hypocreales. The record is from RNAcentral.
AACGUUACCAAACNGUUGCCUCGGCGGGAUCUUCUGCCCCGGGUGCGUCGCAGCCCCGGACCAAGGCGCCCGCCGGAGGAAUCAACCAAAACUCUUAUUGUAUACCCCCUCGCGGGUUUUUUUUAUAAUCUGAGCCUUCUCGGCGCCUCUCGUAGGCGUUUCGAAAAUGAAUCAAAACUUUCGACAACGGAUCUCUUGGUUCUGGCAUCGAUGAAGAACGCAGCGAAAUGCGAUAAGUAAUGUGAAUUGCAGAAUUCAGUGAAUCAUCGAAUCUUUGAACGCACAUUGCGCCCGCCAGUAUUCUGGCGGGCAUGCCUGUCCGAGCGUCAUUUCAACCCUCGAAUCCCUCCGGGGGGUCGGCGUUGGGGAUCGGCCUUCCUUCACGGGGGCCGUCUCCGAAAUACAGUGGCGGUCUCGCCGCAGCCUCUCCUGCGCAGUAGUUUGCACACUCGCAUCGGGAGCGCGGCGCGUCCACAGCCGUUAAACACCCAACUUUCUGAAAUGUUGACCUCGGAUCAGGUAGGAAUACCCGCUGAACUUA